GACGAACGCUGGCGGCGUGCUUAACACAUGCAAGUCGAACGGUGAAGCGCCUUCCUUUUUGGUGGGUGUGGGUGAGUGGCGAACGGGUGAGUAACACGUGAGUAACCUGCCCCCUUCUUCUGGAUAACCGCAUGAAAGUGUGGCUAAUACGGGAUAUUCUGGGUCUGUCGCAUGAUGGGUCUGGGAAAGAUAUUGUUUCGGUGGGGGAUGGGCUCGCGGCCUAUCAGCUUGUUGGUGGGGUGAUGGCCUACCAAGGCGGUGACGGGUAGCCGGCCUGAGAGGGUGGACGGUCACACUGGGACUGAGACACGGCCCAGACUCCUACGGGAGGCAGCAGUGGGGAAUAUUGCACAAUGGGCGCAAGCCUGAUGCAGCGACGCCGCGUGAGGGAUGGAGGCCUUCGGGUUGUGAACCUCUUUCGCCAGUGAAGCAGGCCUGCCUCGUUUGUGGGUGGGUUGACGGUAGCUGGAUAAGAAGCGCCGGCUAACUACGUG
This 494-nucleotide ribosomal RNA is filed under the name uncultured bacterium. RNAcentral's name for it is "partial 16S ribosomal RNA". It matches the Rfam family "Bacterial small subunit ribosomal RNA", at positions 28 to 507 of the family's 1533-position model. The record is from RNAcentral.